AGUGAACGCUGGCGGUAGGCCUAACACAUGCAAGUCGAACGGCAGCACAGUAAGAGCUUGCUCUUACGGGUUGCGAGUGGCGGACGGGUGAGGAAUACAUCGGAAUCUACUUUUUCGUGGGGGAUAACGUAGGGAAACUUACGCUAAUACCGCAUACGACCUACGGGUGAAAGCAGGGGAUCUUCGGACCUUGCGCGAUUGAAUGAGCCGAUGUCGGAUUAGCUAGUUGGCGGGGUAAAGGCCCACCAAGGCGACGAUCCGUAGCUGGUCUGAGAGGAUGAUCAGCCACACUGGAACUGAGACACGGUCCAGACUCCUACGGGAGGCAGCAGUGGGCAAUAUUGGACAAUGGGCGCAAGCCUGAUCCAGCCAUACCGCGUGGGUGAAGAAGGCCUUCGGGUUGUAAAGCCCUUUUGUUGGGAAAGAAAAGCAGCAGGUUAAUACCCCGCUGUUCUGACGGUACCCAAAGAAUAAGCACCGGCUAACUUCGUG
RNAcentral lists this ribosomal RNA (492 nucleotides) under uncultured bacterium. RNAcentral's name for it is "partial 16S ribosomal RNA". It matches the Rfam family "Bacterial small subunit ribosomal RNA", at positions 29 to 507 of the family's 1533-position model. The record is from RNAcentral.